GAUGAACGCUGGCUACAGGCUUAACACAUGCAAGUCGAGGGGAAACGACGGGGAAGCUUGCUUCCCCGGGCGUCGACCGGCGCACGGGUGAGUAACGCGUAUCCAACCUGCCUCUGACUGAGGGAUAACCCGUCGAAAGUCGGCCUAAACCCCAAGGCCUCCUUCUCCGGGCUCCAACCAACAUUAAAGAAUUCAAUGGGCAGGGGUGGGGAUGCGUCUGAUUAACUUGGUGGCGGGGUAACGGCCCAACAAGGCGACGAUCAGUAGGGGUUCUGAGAGGAAGGUCCCCCACAUUGGAACUGAGACACGGUCCAAACGCCUACGGGAGGCAGCAGUGAGGAAUAUUGGUCAAUGGGCGAGAGCCUGAACCAGCCAAGUAGCGUGCAGGAUGACGGCCCUAUGGGUUGUAAACUGCUUUUAUGCGGGGAUAAAGUGAGGGACGUGUCCUUCAUUGCAGGUACCGCAUGAAUAAGGACCGGCUAAUUCCGUG
Molecule: ribosomal RNA, 490 nt
Filed under: uncultured bacterium
Lineage: Bacteria
Description: partial 16S ribosomal RNA
Rfam family: Bacterial small subunit ribosomal RNA
Source: RNAcentral